RNAcentral lists this ribosomal RNA (292 nucleotides) under uncultured bacterium. Its description in RNAcentral is "partial 16S ribosomal RNA". The record is from RNAcentral.
GGACUACCAGGGUUUCUAAUCCUGUUUGCUCCCCACGCUUUCGCACCUCAGCGUCAGAAUCGGACCAGUGAGCCGCCUUCGCCACUGGUGUUCUUCCUAAUAUCUACGAAUUUCACCUCUACACUAGGAAUUCCACUCACCUCUUCCGAUCUCUAGACUGCCAGUAUCAAAGGCAAUUCCAGGGUUGAGCCCUGGGCUUUCACCUCUAACUUAACAAUCCGCCUACGUGCGCUUUACGCCCAGUAAUUCCGAACAACGCUAGCCCCCUUCGUAUUACCGCGGCUGCUGGCAC